Molecule: long non-coding RNA, 1327 nt
Organism: Beta vulgaris subsp. vulgaris (sugar beet)
Lineage: Eukaryota; Viridiplantae; Streptophyta; Magnoliopsida; Caryophyllales; Amaranthaceae
Exons: 2
Source: RefSeq, a predicted model, not a curated record
GACUCGAAUUUACUUACGUAAUUGACUAGUUUGUAAUUUCUUUGCUUAAACUUUCAUUAACCAAUUCAUUUAGUAAUUUGUAAUCAAUUAUAUGCCUGGAUAGAUGGUUAUUUACAAAUUAAAUUAAUGGAAUGCUUGAACGAAUUAAAAUUAUUGAUUGCCUCAUUGCUAUGAGAUUAAUUGAGACUCUCAAGUUUCAACUUUGUUGUGUGAAUUUGUUAUUGUUAUUAAAGUUUAAUUUGGAUUUUGGGUGUUGUUAUUGGUUAUUGAAGAUAACUUUGAAUUUUUAGAAUGAUUUUUUAGUUUUUUUCUUGUAAUUUAAGAAAUUAUUUUUGUAUUUUUUGGUUGUAAUUUCGAAUUUGAAUAGAUGUAUUUUAUUUUCAAACAAUUUAAAUUGAUUUUUUUUUUUUUGAUUUAAUGUCCCACUAAUUCCAAAUCCACGUAGGUAAAAUCCUCGAUACGUCACUGUUACAUGCAGGAAGGCUCAUAUUCUACCACAUUGGCAUAAGCAAUAACUUCGAGUAUAAUUACUCUCAACACCAAUGAUGUGUAUAGACUAGUGGAUCGUGUCUAGUAAAAGAUCUAAUUGAAUUUUAUAUUUUCAAAAGAUAAGGUUAUCAUUAUUACAUCAAACUUUUAACGUAAAUUAUAUUUCUGCUCUUUGCUGCUUAAACAAAAAAUUCAAAUACUAAAGAAAAAAUUAAAAAUCUUAGCUUAUAGCGUAAUCUAUAUCGGUAGCCUCACAUAAACAAAUACGCAUAUAUAAUAAUGUAAUAUAAGCAUGACUCAUGAGCGAUAUCUAGCACGUGUACUUUCAUGCAUUCGGAUUGCCUUACAUAUGUUAAUUACCCAUGACCCGCAACAUCUUCAACAGUUAUAAAUAACCUCAAAGAUUACCUAAGAAGAGAUCAAACUUAAAUUCAAUAUUCCAAAUCUUGUUUAAAGCUCAACUCAAAAUCCUUGAAUUACCUCAAAUAUGAGGCAGUCAAUGAAGCCAUUUGCUGUUAUCCUACUUAUGCUCCUGCUUGCGUUCGCUACAGAGGAUGGGCCAAGAGUAGCAGAAGCUUUAUUUGGAAGAUGCAAGAAAGUACCGAGCCGGACGUACAAGGGACCGUGUGCCAGGGAUGCUAAUUGCCGAUCGGUUUGCAUUUCGGAGGGAUAUAAUGGAGGCGAUUGUCACGGCUUUCGCCGGAGAUGCAUGUGCACCGAUAAAUGCUCUUAGGCUAGCUCUCCUAGCUAGCUCAUCAAAAAAACACAUAUAUCAUAUGUAUGAUGUAGUACUACUUUGCUUAUAUAUAUAGAGCUCGCACUUUGCUUUCGCUGUUCA